UGCCAGCCGCCGCGGUAAUACGAAGGGUGCUAGCGUUGUUCGGAAUUACUGGGCGUAAAGCGCGUGCAGGUGGAUAGAUAAGUUACUCAUGAAAGCUCCCGGCUAAACUGGGAGAGGUUGAGUGAUACUGUUUAUCUAGAGUGGAUGAGAGGUAAGUAGAAUUCCUUGUGUAGUGGUGAAAUGCGUAGAUAUAAGGAAGAAUACCAGUGGCGAAGGCGACUUACUGGCAUCCAACUGACACUCAGACGCGAAAGCAUGGGUAGCGAACGGGAUUAGAUA
This 279-nucleotide ribosomal RNA is filed under the name uncultured bacterium. RNAcentral describes it as "partial 16S ribosomal RNA". It matches the Rfam family "Bacterial small subunit ribosomal RNA", at positions 506 to 784 of the family's 1533-position model. The record is from RNAcentral.